CGGAGGAUCCAAGCGUUAUCCGGAAUCAUUGGGUUUAAGGGGUCCUAGGCGGUCUGGUAAGUCAGUGGUGAAAGCCCAUCGCUCAACGGUGAACGGCCAUUGAUACUGCUGGACUUGAAUUAUUGGGAAGUAACUAGAAUAUGUAGUGUAGCGGUGAAAUGCUUAGAGAUUACAUGGAAUACCAAUUGCGAAGGCAGGUUACUACCAAUGGAUUGACGCUGAUGGACGAAAGCGUGGGUAGCGAACAGGAUUAGAUACCCUGGUAGUCCACGCCGUAAACGAUGGAUACUAGCUGUUGGGAGCAAUCUCAGUGGCUAAGCGAAAGUGAUAAGUAUCCCACCUGGGGAGUACGUUCGCAAGAAUG
Molecule: ribosomal RNA, 364 nt
Filed under: uncultured organism
Description: bacterial SSU rRNA
Rfam family: Bacterial small subunit ribosomal RNA
Source: RNAcentral